RNAcentral lists this ribosomal RNA (477 nucleotides) under uncultured organism. RNAcentral describes it as "partial 16S ribosomal RNA". It matches the Rfam family "Bacterial small subunit ribosomal RNA", at positions 332 to 800 of the family's 1533-position model. The record is from RNAcentral.
UACACUCCUACGGGAGGCAGCAGUGGGGAAUUUUGGACAAUGGGCGAAAGCCUGAUCCAGCAAUGCCGCGUGAGUGAAGAAGGCCUUCGGGUUGUAAAGCUCUUUUGUCAGGGAAGAAACGGUGAAAGCUAAUAUCUUUUGCUAAUGACGGUACCUGAAGAAUAAGCACCGGCUAACUACGUGCCAGCAGCCGCGGUAAUACGUAGGGUGCAAGCGUUAAUCGGAAUUACUGGGCGUAAAGCGUGCGCAGGCGGUUUUGUAAGUCUGAUGUGAAAUCCCCGGGCUCAACCUGGGAAUUGCAUUGGAGACUGCAAGGCUAGAAUCUGGCAGAGGGGGGUAGAAUUCCACGUGUAGCAGUGAAAUGCGUAGAUAUGUGGAGGAACACCGAUGGCGAAGGCAGCCCCCUGGGUCAAGAUUGACGCUCAUGCACGAAAGCGUGGGGAGCAAACAGGAUUAGAAACCCGAGUAGUCCCAUGA